Molecule: ribosomal RNA, 2957 nt
Filed under: Candidatus Obscuribacterales bacterium
Lineage: Bacteria; Bacillati; Candidatus Melainabacteria; Candidatus Obscuribacterales
Description: 23S ribosomal RNA
Rfam family: Bacterial large subunit ribosomal RNA
Source: RNAcentral
GGUUAAGCUACAAAGAGCGCACGGUGGAUACCUUGGCGUUAGAAGCCGAUGAAGGACGCAAUAACCUGCGAAAAGCUGCGGGGAGACGUUAUAGUCUACGAUCCGCAGGUCUCCGAAUGGGGCAACCCUGCCAGAGUAAUGUCUGGUAACGCAUAUCUGAAUACAUAGGGUAUAGCGAGGUAAGCUCGGGAACUGAAACAUCUUAGUACCGAGAGGAAAAUAAAACAAAUGAGUGAUUCCCCUAGUAGCGGCGAGUGAACGGGGAACAGCCUAAACCUAUACGACGCAAGUCAUAUAGGGGUCGCGGGACACCAUCACGAGAUGGGAUGAGAAUAGUUGAAGGGCCCUGGAAAGGUCCACCAUAGACGGUGACAGUCCGGUAAACGACAUUCUCUGAACCUCAGGUGUAUCCCAAGUAAUGCGGGGCACGUGAAACCUUGCAUGAAUCAGCCGGGACCAUCCGGUAAGGCUAAAUACUUCUAACGACCGAUAGUGUACAAGUACCGCGAGGGAAAGGUGAAAAGAACCCCGGUGAGGGGAGUGAAAUAGAACAUGAAACCGUGUGCUUACAAGCAAUUGGAGCACCAUUUGAUGGUGUGACAGUGUGCCUGUUGAAGAAUGAGCCGGCGAGUUGCCGUGUGUAGUUGGUUAAGCAGUUAAUAUGCGAAGCCACAGGGAAACCGAGUCUGAUAAGGGCGUUGAUAAUUACAUGCGGCAGACCCGAACCCAGGUGAUCUAGGCAUGGCCAGGAUGAAGCGUGUGUAAAAAUGCGUAGAGGUCCGAACCGACUGAUGUUGAAAAAUCAGCGGAUGAGCUGUGUUUAGGGGUGAAAUGCCAAUCGAACUUGGAGCUAGCUGGUUCUCCCCGAAAGGCGUUGAGGCACCGCGUUGGACGUAGUUUAUGGGGGGUAGAGCACUAGUUCGGUGCGGGCGGAGAAAAUCCGUACCAAAUCGAGUUAAACUCCGAAUACCCAUAAUAUUUAUCCAGCAGUGAGACGGCGAGAGAUAAGUUCCGUCGUCAAGAGGGAAACAGCCCAGACUACCGACUAAGGUCCCAAAGUAUAUGCUGAGUGGUUAAGGAGGUGGAGUUGCAUAGACAACCAGGAUGUUGGCUUAGAAGCAGCCAUCAUUCAAAGAAAGCGUAAUAGCUCACUGGUCAAGCGACUCUGCGCCGAAAAUAUCCGGGACUAAGCAUAUCACCGAAAUCGUAGGCUUACGUAAGUAAGCGGUAGGGGAGCGUUGUGUUGUAGGUUGAAGCAUGAGCGUAAGCACGUGUCGACGAAGCACAAGUGAGACUGUCGGCUUAAGUAGCGAAAACAUUGGUGAGAAUCCAAUGCACCGAAAGACUAAGGGUUCCCACGGCAGGUUCGUCCACGUGGGGUUAGUCGGGGGCUAAGAUGAGGCCGAAAGGCGUAAUCGAUGCACAGCGGGUUAAUAUUCCCGUACCACCGUAGAUCGUUAUGAAUCAAGUCGGGACGCAGGAGGCUAAUUGAUGCGGCUAAAUGGAUUGCCGUCCAAAGGCGUAGCUAGUCAGAGUAGGCAAAUCCGCUCUGGCGUUUAAACGUGAGGCCGAGUAAGAAAUCACCCACGGGUGAAAUAUCAAUGAUGCCACGCUGCCGAGAAAAGCGGCGUGAUCAGAUCGAAGGUGCCCGUACCCGAAACCGACACAGGUAGUCAGGUAGAGAAUACCAAGGUGCGCGAGAUAACUCUCUCUAAGGAACUCGGCAAAAUAACCUCGUAACUUCGGAAGAAGAGGUGUCAUGGUAGGGUGUAGGUCCAAGCGGCCGAAGCCUGAGAUGAUCGCAGCGACGAGGCUCAAGCGACUGUUUAACAAAAACACAGGUCUCUGCUAAACCGUAAGGUGAUGUAUAGGGGCUGACUCCUGCCCAGUGCUGGAAGGUUAAGUGGAUCGGUUAGCGUAAGCGAAGCUGAAAAACAAAGCCCCAGUGAACGGCGGCCGUAACUAUAACGGUCCUAAGGUAGCGAAAUUCCUUGUCGGGUAAGUUCCGACCCGCACGAAUGGAGUAACGAUUUGAGCGCUGUCUCGGAGAGAGACUCGGCGAAAUAGGAUUGUCUGUGAAGAUACGGACUAGGCGUGCCAGGACAGAAAGACCCUAUUGAGCUUUACUGUAGGCUGAAAUUGUCUGCGGGCUAUAUCUGCGCAGAAUAGGUGGGAGACUUUGAAGUCAGAAUUUUGGUUCUGAUGGAGUCAUCGUUGAGAUACCACUCUGAUGUAGCUAGCAUACUAACCUCGUUCCAUGAAUCUGGGCGGGGAACAGUUUCAGUUGGGCAGUUUGACUGGGGCGGUCGCCUCCUAAACAGUAACGGAGGCGCCCAAUGGUUCCCUCAGGGUGGUCGGAAAUCACCCAUCGAGCGGAAAGGUAGAAGGGAGCUUGACUGCAAGAGUGACAACUCGCGCAGGGACGAAAGUCGGGCUUAGUGAUCCCACGACUCCGCAUGGAAGGGUCGUUGCUCAUCGGACAAAAGUUACCAUAGGGAUAACAGGCUGAUCUCCCCCAAGAGUCCACAUCGACGGGGAGGUUUGGCACCUCGAUGUCGGCUCAUCGCAUCCUGGAGCGGUAGUACGUUCCAAGGGUUGGGCUGUUCGCCCAUUAAAGCGGUACGUGAGCUGGGUUCAGAACGUCGUGAGACAGUUCGGUCCAUAUCCGGCAUGCCCGCAGGAUUUUUGAGAGGAGCCGUCCUUAGUACGAGAGGACCGGGACGGACAGACCGCCAGUAUACGAGUUAUCACGCCAGUGGUAGACGCUCGGUAGCUGUGUCUGGAGUGGAUAAGUGCUGAAAGCAUAUAAGUACGAAGCCCACCUCAAGAUGAGAAAUCCCAUGGAGUUAAUCCAGUAAGGUCCCCGGAAGACCACCGGGUUGAUAGGACAUAGGUGGAAGCGCCCCGCAAGGCAAGCGUGUAGCCGAGUGUUACUAAUAGACCGAGGGCUUAUCCAA